Molecule: long non-coding RNA, 469 nt
Organism: Rhineura floridana
Lineage: Eukaryota; Metazoa; Chordata; Lepidosauria; Squamata; Rhineuridae
Exons: 4
Source: RefSeq, a predicted model, not a curated record
CUUUCCUGGUUACCUUGGGAAAGAAGAGUCAUGAGGACCUGGGAUAUAGAAGUUUACACAGAGAGGAGGGUGGACAGCCAAGCCCAAGUACUUACUUUCUUACAAGCUCAGGCUGCCAGCCAGCAGCACGCUUUGGGGGAGUGAUUGGGGCUUGCUUUUUAAAAAGGCUGUGCAGGGAAGUAUGGAGCAGUAUAUGGGUCCUUGCAUGCUGAAGAUGGUGUUGUCUGCCAAAGCAACGCACAGUCUAACGUAUGUAAUGGUUACCUAUACUGAGGAAGGAGGUAUGAUUUAGCUGUAGCAGCUAACAUAAUCCUAUUCAUUUUACUUGGAGGAUUGGCAGAGUAUUACUGAAUGAGCAGAGAUCUAGGUUUCUGUUUACUACUGAGGAGCUGGAUUAUAGCAGUGAAAAUACAAAUAAUCGCACUUUAUGAAACUCUGAAACAAACUGAGCAUACUCAGUUGCCAAGGU